AUGGACGACAAUUUCAAACAUCACAUUUCUUUCCCUUUUUCUCUUUUCAUGGUUUCACCUCUGAUGUCUGAGCAUGCAUUAACAAUAACAAUAUCUUUUCAUUUCCACCUAGCUGCUCUUCCAGCACUUCCACAGAACACAAACGGUGCUGAAAGCCUUGCAAAUGCAACAGAGAAAGGAGCUGUAGGAAGCCAAGAUCUGCUGAAGCUAAUUGGUAGUAAGAUGGGCCUUUAUGCUUCUCAGUUACCCUCCUGGUACACAUGGCUUUGCAACACAGAACAGAUGAAACAGCAGGUACUGAUGCAUACCCCAUUGCAGUGGCCACAGCAGAUCUAGGGGACACUAUUCCAGAGGGAGUGCCACUGCACCGGUUUGGCACGGAGAACCUCAACAGCUUAUGGUGAUGCUCAAGAUGCAUGAGCCCGGGAGUGAAAGUAGGGACACUCAAGGGAAGUGGAAGAAGAGACAUCUGGCAUGAUUUGGCUUAAUUUAUAGGACCAGAGUUCUACUGUGUAUUUGCUGAUAAAUAUAACAUACUUGAUCAGGAAGAAUGAAAAGCUGUCUGAUAAUACUGGACUUGUGUUCAGUUUUCAGACUUGGAUCUUAUCAUAACAUGGGCUUCCAAACAAAUCUUUGUAAGAAAGAGGCACAGGAGAGAAACUCUCUGUAAUAUCCACUGCAACUGUUGGCAGUGCGAGGGUAAACUGUAGUUAGACAGUAUUAAAAAGCAGUAGCAUUUUAUAGUAUUUCCGGAUAUAUCCUGCAAUAUCUGCUUCCCAUUUUCAACAGCUUCCGAACCUCUCCUUCUUCCCUUUGAGCUAUCAGGGAUGUUAGCAAGAGUCUUUUCCACUCCCUGCUUUAACUGACUUUUCCAAUUAGGAGCUCUGGAUGAAAAGACCUGAGAAACAGCCCAGCAACUGCAAGUGACAUAAGUCUGAUGCAUGCAGGGCAUGCUCUGCCCUCCCUUGCUGAAAGCUACAAGUGACUCAGCAUUAGCUCAGUAAUUGCUCUCCAGGGAAUUUGAGACAUGCCACUUCCAUGCAUUCCUGCCUACUUCAGCGUGAGGAGGAAUCAGAGACAAAGAACACUCAAACAUUGCCCUACCUCUGAUAAAUAUACACCUCCCAACAGCUAAUGAAUAAGACAUCUGUCAAGCUUUGUCUUGUGAUCCUCAUCUAUGGACACAAUCAAGGAGAAGCCAGUAGCAAAAUAUAGUAUUUUUUUUGUGUGUGUGUUUAAUAGCUGCUGCCUGUGCCACGAAGACACAGCAUUUCAUUAAGCACAGGGUAAUAGCCUGAUUCCCUUGGAGACUUACUGCUGGAAAACAGAACAUCUCCAUUCAUAAACAGGCAAGGUCACCAUGCACCACACACUCCUCAACGCACACAUUCAUUUUGGAAUUAAUGCUGAGAUAACUAAGGAUCUGCUCAUUAUACAUUUCAUAUUAAUGCAAUAACACAACUUCAUGUAGACCUAAUUUUACAAGAUCUGAGAAAAAUGGUAUUAUGUUACAUUUUGAUGCCAUCUGUUCAUCUACUCCAGAAUACAUUGCAAAAAAAAUCUGAUUUCUAAUCAUUUUAAUAUAUAAUUUUACUCUUCAUGUCUGAUUUAGAAUUUGAACAAUUCCAGACAAGAAACAUUUUAAAAGAACACACUAAGGUAUUUGGUUCCUUCACAUUGCAUCACACUUUCAUUACUUACGAUUGUUUUUUUUAUUCAGCAGGAGUUAUCUUCCACCAUAUGCACAUGUACAUACUAUGAAAAAGACAGUUUCACAAGUGUAAUGCCUCAAAGUUUAAACCCCUAUAGACAUAAUACAUUUUUUUUUUUCCACAGAUUGUGCUAAGAGAUAUAUGAAGAGAAAUAAAAAAUGAUAGGCAAUUUCUUUCA
This is a long non-coding RNA of Anser brachyrhynchus (Pink-footed goose), 1890 nucleotides long. The record is from Ensembl. NCBI's taxonomy places the organism in Eukaryota, Metazoa, Chordata, Aves, Anseriformes, Anatidae.